GGGGAAUUUUGGACAAUGGGCGAAAGCCUGAUCCAGCAAUGCCGCGUGCAGGAUGAAGGCCUUCGGGUUGUAAACUGCUUUUGUACGGAACGAAAAGCUUCGGGUUAAUACCCUGGAGUCAUGACGGUACCGUAAGAAUAAGCACCGGCUAACUACGUGCCAGCAGCCGCGGUAAUACGUAGGGUGCAAGCGUUAAUCGGAAUUACUGGGCGUAAAGCGUGCGCAGGCGGUCUUGUAAGACAGAGGUGAAAUCCCCGGGCUCAACCUGGGAACUGCCUUUGUGACUGCAAGGCUGGAGUGCGGCAGAGGGGGAUGGAAUUCCGCGUGUAGCAGUGAAAUCCGUAGAUAUCUGGAGGAACAUCAGUGGCGAAGGCGGCCACCUGGACCGGUAUUGACGCUGAGGUGCGAAAGCGUGGGGAGCAAACA
This 426-nucleotide ribosomal RNA is filed under the name uncultured Comamonadaceae bacterium. Its description in RNAcentral is "bacterial SSU rRNA". It matches the Rfam family "Bacterial small subunit ribosomal RNA", at positions 356 to 774 of the family's 1533-position model. The record is from RNAcentral. Lineage: Bacteria; Pseudomonadati; Pseudomonadota; Betaproteobacteria; Burkholderiales; Comamonadaceae.